AGGACGAACGCUGGCGGCGUGCUUAACACAUGCAAGUCGAACGGAAAGGCCCGCUUGCGGGUACUCGAGUGGCGAACGGGUGAGUAACACGUGGGCAACCUGCCCUCAGCUCUGGGAUAACUCCGGGAAACCGGUGCUAAUACUGGAUAUCGACUUCUGCCUCGCAUGGGGUGUUGUUGAAAGUUUUUCGGCUGGGGAUGGGCCCGCGGCCUAUCAGCUUGUUGGUGGGGUGAUGGCCUACCAAGGCGACGACGGGUAGCCGGCCUGAGAGGGCGACCGGCCACACUGGGACUGAGACACGGCCCAGACUCCUACGGGAGGCAGCAGUGGGGAAUAUUGCGCAAUGGGCGAAAGCCUGACGCAGCGACGCCGCGUGGGGGAUGACGGCCUCGGGUUGUAAACCUCUUCGACCGGGACGAAGCGCAAGUGACGGUACCGGUAUAAGAAGCACCGGCCAACUACGUGCCAGCAGCCGC
This 476-nucleotide ribosomal RNA is filed under the name uncultured bacterium. Its description in RNAcentral is "SSU rRNA". It matches the Rfam family "Bacterial small subunit ribosomal RNA", at positions 26 to 518 of the family's 1533-position model. The record is from RNAcentral.